Molecule: long non-coding RNA, 112 nt
Organism: Gavialis gangeticus (Gharial)
Lineage: Eukaryota; Metazoa; Chordata; Crocodylia; Gavialidae
Exons: 4
Source: RefSeq, a predicted model, not a curated record
AUCACCCAGAGCAUCAGGGAGAUGCUUGCUCUAGAUUGCCAGCCCUUCUCCUUAGUUGAGCAGCCAGGAUUCCGGUGGCUCAUGUUGCUCAUCCCUGUCAUUCCAAAUGGCU